Long non-coding RNA from Oncorhynchus tshawytscha (Chinook salmon), 3370 nucleotides. The record is from Ensembl. NCBI's taxonomy places the organism in Eukaryota, Metazoa, Chordata, Actinopteri, Salmoniformes, Salmonidae.
CCUUUCGGUCACGCGAGAAAACAGGCUACUCUCAUGCGCGCUCUGUCUUUGUUCCAAGAUUGAUUAAACGACUCGUGUGUUUCUCUUCGUCCUGAGAAUUGCUGUGAAGCUAGAUAACAUGCUAAUGCUGUGUUCUGAACAUAGUUUGACAAGUUUAGUCGACAUAUAAUAUGUCAUUUCGACGUUUUGGUGCGCACCCACUUGACUUUUUGGCUGCAUUUCAACCGAAAUGUGUCGUGUUUGAUCACCGAAAGACACAGACUUCCAAACUAAAGCUGUUUUUGACAGCCGUGUGUCCUUCCUGGCCCUCACCGUUUCCACCACGGCCACAUCCGGCUGAUUGGUCAACACACAGCCACGGCCACUACCAUGGGGUCUUCUGUCAAUUCUGAGGGUAGAACAGAGUAUACUGCCAACAGAUCAUACUGUAAGAAUACUGUAACAUGUUAUGUGAAUUUACAUGCAUUACAAUAUGUAAUUUGCAGUAAAUGUAAUGGCAAAGCAUAGUGCAUAACCUACAGACUCGGUUUCCUUGGAGAAAUGUUCUCAUGAUCAAAUUGAAAGUAGAUUUUUUCAGAUUGCGAUGAACUAAUCUGGCAGCCUGUGCCAUGGUAAGGCCUCUGUUUACCACAUGGUCAACGACGAUGGCCCAGACUUUAUUCUGCACAACAGUUCCUUGCCGUCUGCCUCCCUCUCUCUGAUGUCCAACUCUUUGAUGGGGCCCAUGCCCACCUCUCUGACAGGCCCCUUGUCUAGAAGCUCUUUGAUUUCUUCCUUUCCCUUGCUGUCUAUCCUGCUCCAUGUUGAAAGAAAUUGCAAGUGUUCACACACACCCUAAAUGGUGACCACUUGUGGUUACCACUAUGUGAAAUCAAUUAGCAAUAACGAGGAGUCAUUAUGUAUGUUUAUCAUGUACCAUACAUAUCAUGUUUAUACUUCACAAACACAUUUUAUAUCUGUAGUUCUCAAAAUGCAUAUAUAGUAGACAAACCAGUUUAAAACUAUAGGUUUACCCAACGGUUAAGUCAUUAACCAUUAAGCGCAGUUGGAUUAUAUGAUGGUCAAAUGUAUUUAAACAGAUGAGAAGAGAAUCAUGUGAAAGGUGUUGUAAGCACUGCAUUGUGAAUGGCAAUUACUUUAUAUGAAAGGUAUUUCUAGACUAAACACUGAUUAGGUUUGGUGAAAAAGUUACUGUGUGAUUUUGUGUGUUGUACUGUGUGAAAAAUGCUAAUGUCAGUCCCAUGACUUGAAUGGGAUUUGCACCACAAAUGCAAAAAUGUUAGCAUGUGGAAACGAUGACAAGGAAAAUAAACCAAGCCAUGGAUUUCUCUCAUAUCUUCUCCAUUGACUGCUUACAGGGCAGGGAAACAAUUUUGUCAUUUGUGUGAACUAUCCCUCUAAAUGACCAAUACAUCAUUUAUUUGUAAGUUUGCACAUGAUGUUUGAUGCAUUGCAAAACAAAAUACACUCAACAGCAAAGGCUGCAGUAAAACGUAGCGUUUCUAAUACAUGGUAACUGUCAUGCCCUGAUCUGCUUUCACCUGUCCUUGUGCUUGUCUCCACCCCAUCCAGGUGUCACCCAUUUUCCCCUCUUAUCCUCUGGGUAUUUAUACCUACUGUAUAUGUGUGUAUAUAUAUAUAUAGGAUCUUCCACCCACACCUGGGAUAUGGAUGCCUGAUAAAGACCUAAGGAUCGAAACGUCGUUAAUAAAUAUCACCUGGGAGCAUGAGCAGCAGUGUGCUGCGUUUUCCUUUCUGUUUUCCAUGAGUUUAUUUAUUUAACCUUUGUUUAACUAGGAAAGUCGGUUAAGAAGUCAGUUAUUGACUAUGAUGGCCUACCCCGUCCAAACCCGGAUGAUACAUGGCCAAUUGUGCCCCCAAUGGGACUCCCAAUCAUGGCCGGAUGUGACACAGCCUGGGUUUGACCAUAUCUAAUGUUUGCACUCAUUAAGUAUGUCUGGCUCCAAGACGUAAUAAAAAUGAUUCAGAGCCUGAGUUUGUAUAGCACUGUGUUGCUGUUCUUCUUAUUUACAUUGACAUGUCACAGGAAAAACAUAAGAACUCAUCAGAUCAAACACGGACUGAAAGGUCAGCCAUCAGCCUACCAGUAAUCAAAUCAAACACAUUUCAGCUUCCAUCCUCUCCCUAGUCCAGAGUCAAUCAACUGUAAAAUUAAUAUCCCCCAAUACCAAGAACAUGUAGUUGACAAGCCAAGAUUUGACUAGGAGACAGAGCCAAGCCUGCCGGUGGCACCCUGCUGUAAUUAAAUCCUAACUCAGUCAUGGAGUUAGCACUUUUUCACUUCAUGCAUAGGGAAGGAAAUCUAUAACUCAUCCCAUAAAUGAAGCUGGCACCAUACCACUGUGUGGGAAUUCAACACCACUGUCAUCCCCAGGGCGCUCUGUCCAUCCACUCAAUAUCCACGACUCAUCAGGAGAGAUUGCGAGAGGGAGGUAGGGGGCAGAGCGAGAGAGAUGCUGUGACAACAUUGAGGCAGAGAGAGGGAGGUGAAAGAAUGGAAGAAUGGGAGGGGCACAGAAACAGUCACCUAGGUAACCAGGUGCAGGUCAGUGUCACACCAAGUAGACUUUAAUUCCAUUCUCCCUCUGAGGUCAGUCAGUCAGCAGACCCACUUACUCAGGGACCUGCCUGGGAAACAACAGGAGUAUAAGUGUUACUAUCCCUGUUACUAUCAGGUAUCAAGGUAAGACUCAAGUGCAGACUGUGUGAAGUAACAAUGUUUAUAGUAACAGGCAAAUGACAGGUCAAGGCAGGCAGGGGUUGAUAAUCCAGAGUAGGAGCAAAGGUACAGGAUGGCAGGCAGGCUCAGGGACAGGCGGAGUGGUCAGGCGAGCAGGUACUGUCACGUUCAUCUGAAUGAAUGGACCAAGACGCAGCGUACUUAGAGUUCCACAUGUUUAAUAAAUAUGCAACUCACCGAAAACAAACAGAAGAAAACGAAACGUGACGUUCUGGGCUGCUCACAGGCAGCUACACAAAAACAAGAUCCCACAAAAAAACAGUUGGAAAAGGCUGCGUAAGUAUGAUCCCCAAUCAGACAAAGAUAGACAGCUGCCUCUGAUUGGGAACCAUACCAGGCCAACAAAGAAAUAGAAAACAUAGAUUGCCAUCUUAGUCACAUCCGGACCUAACCAAAAUAGAGAAUAAAAAGGAUCUCUAAGGUCAGUGCGUGACAGGCAAGGGUCAAAAACGAGGAGGACGAGAAAAAGAGAGGCUGGGAAAAGACAGGUGCUGAAAGGACACUCUGGUAAGCUUCACAAAACAAGACGAACUGGCACAGAUACACAGUGCCUUGCAAAAGUAUUCGGCCCCCUUGAACUUUGCGACCUUUUGCCACAUUUCAGGCUUC